RNAcentral lists this small nuclear RNA (346 nucleotides) under Erinaceus europaeus (western European hedgehog). RNAcentral describes it as "7SK RNA (ENSEEUG00000021004.1)". The stretch from base 1 to 282 matches the Rfam family "7SK RNA". Rfam says of the family: 7SK was discovered as an abundant small nuclear RNA in the mid-70s but a possible function has only recently been suggested. Two independent studies have found that 7SK RNA binds the CDK9/cyclin T complex (known as elongation factor P-TEFb). Lineage: Eukaryota; Metazoa; Chordata; Mammalia; Eulipotyphla; Erinaceidae. The record is from RNAcentral.
GGAUGUGAGGGUGAUCUGGCUGAGACAUCUGUCACACCAUUGAUCGCCAGGGUUGAUUCCCCUAAUCUGGCUGGCUAGGCGGGUCCUCUUCCUUCCUCACUGCUCCAUGUGUGUUCUUCCCCAACCUGCGAGCUCAGAAGAGAGCGGCCUUCCCCAAUAGAGACAGACCGGUCUUGGUCGAGGGUACAUGAGUAGCUGCACUCCCUUGCUAGAACCUUUAAACAAGCUCCUCAGAAUAUGGAGAUAAUCAUUUUAGAACAUAUCGUUAUGAUGGUAUAGUAAUGUAAGGAUUGCACACGAUUGAACGUUUAAAUGUGUAUUUAUUGUGUGGAUAGAGACAGAAAUU